GCCUAACACAUGCAAGUCGAACGGUAACAGAAAGCAGCUUGCUGCUUUGCUGACGAGUGGCGGACGGGUGAGUAAUGUCUGGGAAACUGCCCGAUGGAGGGGGAUAACUACUGGAAACGGUAGCUAAUACCGCAUAACGUCGCAAGACCAAAGAGGGGGACCUUCGGGCCUCUUGCCAUCGGAUGUGCCCAGAUGGGAUUAGCUAGUAGGUGGGGUAACGGCUCACCUAGGCGACGAUCCCUAGCUGGUCUGAGAGGAUGACCAGCCACACUGGAACUGAGACACGGUCCAGACUCCUACGGGAGGCAGCAGUGGGGAAUAUUGCACAAUGGGCGCAAGCCUGAUGCAGCCAUGCCGCGUGUAUGAAGAAGGCCUUCGGGUUGUAAAGUACUUUCAGCGGGGAGGAAGGGAGUAAAGUUAAUACCUUUGCUCAUUGACGUUACCCGCAGAAGAAGCACCGGCUAACUCCGUGCCAGCAGCCGCGGUAAUACGGAGGGUGCAAGCGUUAAUCGGAAUUACUGGGCGUAAAGCGCACGCAGGCGGUUUGUUAAGUCAGAUGUGAAAUCCCCGGGCUCAACCUGGGAACUGCAUCUGAUACUGGCAAGCUUGAGUCUCGUAGAGGGGGGUAGAAUUCCAGGUGUAGCGGUGAAAUGCGUAGAGAUCUGGAGGAAUACCGGUGGCGAAGGCGGCCCCCUGGACGAAGACUGAC
This 709-nucleotide ribosomal RNA is filed under the name uncultured Pseudomonadota bacterium. RNAcentral's name for it is "bacterial SSU rRNA". It matches the Rfam family "Bacterial small subunit ribosomal RNA", at positions 46 to 744 of the family's 1533-position model. The record is from RNAcentral. Lineage: Bacteria; Pseudomonadati; Pseudomonadota.